Molecule: transfer RNA, 72 nt
Filed under: Hoplodactylus duvaucelii (Duvaucel's gecko)
Lineage: Eukaryota; Metazoa; Chordata; Lepidosauria; Squamata; Diplodactylidae
Description: tRNA-Gln
Rfam family: tRNA
About the family: Transfer RNA (tRNA) molecules are approximately 80 nucleotides in length.
Source: RNAcentral
UAGAGGAUCGUAUAAGUGGUAGUACAUAAAGUUUUGAGCUUUGGUGUGUAGGUUCGAGGCCUAUUCUUCUAG